GCUUGGAUGGCUCAGCUGGUUAGAGCGCAGGUCUCAUAAUCCUGAGGUCGUGAGUUCGAUCCUCACUCCGAGCA
Molecule: transfer RNA, 74 nt
Filed under: Ganoderma lucidum G.260125-1
Lineage: Eukaryota; Fungi; Basidiomycota; Agaricomycetes; Polyporales; Polyporaceae
Description: tRNA-Met (CAT) (tRNA-Met-CAT-2-1, tRNA-Met-CAT-2-2)
Rfam family: tRNA
About the family: Transfer RNA (tRNA) molecules are approximately 80 nucleotides in length. Their secondary structure includes four short double-helical elements and three loops (D, anti-codon, and T loops).
Source: RNAcentral